AGUGAACGCUGGCGGUAGGCCUAACACAUGCAAGUCGAACGGCAGCACAGUAAGAGCUUGCUCUUACGGGUGGCGAGUGGCGGACGGGUGAGGAAUACAUCGGAAUCUACUUUUUCGUGGGGGAUAACGUAGGGAAACUUACGCUAAUACCGCAUACGACCUACGGGUGAAAGCAGGGGAUCUUCGGACCUUGCGCGAUUGAAUGAGCCGAUGUCGGAUUAGCUAGUUGGCGGGGUAAAGGCCCACCAAGGCGACGAUCCGUAGCUGGUCUGAGAGGAUGAUCAGCCACACUGGAACUGAGACACGGUCCAGACUCCUACGGGAGGCAGCAGUGGGGAAUAUUGGACAAUGGGCGCAAGCCUGAUCCAGCCAUACCGCGUGGGUGAAGAAGGCCUUCGGGUUGUAAAGCCCUUUUGUUGGGAAAGAAAAGCAGCAGGUUAAUACCCCGCCGUUCUGACGGUACCUAAAGAAUAAGCACCGGCUAACUUCGUG
RNAcentral lists this ribosomal RNA (492 nucleotides) under uncultured bacterium. RNAcentral's name for it is "partial 16S ribosomal RNA". It matches the Rfam family "Bacterial small subunit ribosomal RNA", at positions 29 to 507 of the family's 1533-position model. The record is from RNAcentral.